This is a non-coding RNA of Malus domestica (apple), 888 nucleotides long. The record is from RefSeq and is a predicted model, not a curated record. NCBI's taxonomy places the organism in Eukaryota, Viridiplantae, Streptophyta, Magnoliopsida, Rosales, Rosaceae.
AAAAAAUCUGUCGUCAAGGACGUCGUCCCGACCCUCUCUCUCUACCGCUCUGCUUCCGCCCUUGAAGUUCGUCUCAAAGAGUUUUAGAUCUUCGCCCUGGAUUGCCUCCGAGCACAGGACACUCAUAGAAGCAAAGUUCCGUAAGUGAAAGAGGCAGUCCCUCCGCUGGAAUGGAUGCUAGCUUUGGACAAUCCCAGAGUUCCAGAGAUUCAAGGGAGGAUAGGAAUUGAAAGCCCUUGCUGCUCGGUUUCUUCAGAUUUGGGAAGCCACCAAUUGAGAGUUCAGUGAGAGAUUUGAGGAGCAGCGUCUCCAUCCGGACCAUGUCCGGUGGAAACGAUACCGUAUCCAGGUCUUCACCACCAAUCCACAAGUAUCUAAGAGAGAAAAUCGCACAAGGAAGCAAGUAAACAAAGAUGGUCCUGCUUUACUCCCAGAAGAACAUAAGGUAUCAGCAAAGCAAGGAUACUUGUCUUUUGCUGUGCUUCCGUGUAUUCUACAUUUGGGAUUUAUGGCAGCCACCGCAUUUUUUGUCAUGCAUGUGCAGGUUGCUACUCGUUUCUUAUCCUUCAGCCCUCCCCUCUAUUGGUUUGCGUCGUAUAUAAUGAAAUCUCAUGGUACUGGUAAGCGAUGGGGAUAUAUAGUUUGGGCAUACUCUGCUGCGUACAUUCUUCUAGGCAGUUUGCUCUUUUCGAACUUCUAUCCUUUCACUUGAUACUGUACAGCGAGGAGUCUCAGCUGAAAGCUUUUCUAUCGAAGAGUUUGUGCCUUUCACAAUGUCUCAUAUUGAAUUUGCAUACUGAAGGAUAUUCUUCUAUUGUUUGGGGAGUCCCACGGCUUAAUAUCUUUAGUUGCUUGCCUCUGUGUAUAAGCAUCGUGCCACUGUCGGUU